Acanthochromis polyacanthus (spiny chromis) is the source of this 3907-nucleotide long non-coding RNA. RefSeq lists it as uncharacterized. NCBI's taxonomy places the organism in Eukaryota, Metazoa, Chordata, Actinopteri, Pomacentridae. The record is from RefSeq and is a predicted model, not a curated record. The transcript has 2 exons.
UAGUCAGUAUUUUGUUUAUAUAUGUAUAUAUAGCGUAAUAAUAUAUUGUCUCUUCAAAUUAUUAAAAUAAUUGACUUUACUGCUAUUAUCUGCUUCUCUAACAUAUAUAAGUGUGUGUGAGUGUUUACAGUGUUUGCAAAAUACCUGCCUACAGUCGAGCUUAAUUUCAGAAUAUUCUAUUACCUAUUAUUAUUAUUAUCUAUUAUUCCCGCUAUGUUCAGCACCCCAUUGAUUUACACCUGCAUUUUGUGCUUCAUGGCGCUAGGUGUGCUGUUUGCAUGUUUGACAUUGUUUUACACAGACACCACCGAAGAAGAAAGGUGCCGAAGUGAGACGGGUAUGUCUGCAGGCUGCAAGAGAGAGGCGUGUUGCAAAGUAGGCGUUUCGCAAAGCUUCGCGUCACUUCCAGGCGUAAACUAACCGUGACGUCACCCGUUGGUUUCAACGCCGAGAAAAUGAAGCCCGGAUUUUGCUACUUCCUGGUCGCCGUUUUGGAUUUUUUGGAGCCAGUGACGUAAAAAGCGUCAUCAAACAGACUGGACCGGAGAGCAACUAGGGGCAGGAUUGGCUGAGGACCCGCCCACGUUUUACCGCAGAGGCUUCUGUUGCUGUCCAUCAAGUAUAGCCACACCCCCUGGCUCCGCCAACUUUAACGAUUUAUUUAAAAUUCAGUAUUGAUUUAUUUUAAGAUCGGCCACCUGAUCUCUCAUUUUGACCGUGAAAACUAACGGGAAAAAAAUCCUGAGCUGUAGAAAAUCAGUCUAUCAAAUUUUAUUUUCUCCAAAAAUGAAUUGAGCUCUAUGGAGAAAAAGCUUCUUGGAGCCAAUCCUAGCGGACGGCGUGAUAUUGCAAGUUUUUGACACUUCUGGGUUGCCUUCAAUUCUGGAGCCAGAUGCUACGUCCACUAUAUAUACAGUCUAUGGUCACUUCGCGACACGCCUACUUUGCGACACGCCUCUCACCGGCAGUCACGGAGAAACACGCGAGAUGUGAGAUUUGAAUCUUCAACCAUGGCGGGUCGUGUCCACACUUGAUCUCGCAAAGCAGCUGGUUCCAGGUCCCUGGAUUGAAAAAACAGGCAAAGACAUAGAGGUAACAGUCUUCAAGAUUGCAUUACUUCAUCAGAAGAUACAACUGCAUUUAUGGGAAUCAAGUGUCCUCUGUUGCUGUGUCCCCAAAAGAGGGUGGCCUGCAGUGAAUAUUGUAACUAUUUUGCUCAAAACGUUUUUAGUAUUAAUAUACACCCCCAUAUAAACUGACUUGGCCCAUCAAAGCAAUAUCAUGAUACCAUGCUUUUUAAAAUAAAUUGUACUAGAUACAUUUUGAUAUUUGUUCUACUAUCGUGGCGCAGGGGCUUCCGAGACAGACACAUGCAAAUGACUGUGGCAUUUUUAUGAUAAUGGUAAGCUUUCAAACAUGGAACUUUCAAAUUAGCUGAACAUAGUUUCAGUACCUUAACCUGUUUAAUGUUUCUGACACAGUACGCCUGGUACCUCAUUCUUGGUGCUCUAUUUGACUUCACUGUUGUAAGUUGAACCGAUAAUUUGAUCGUUACAGUUCCUGUAAGUUUGACAAACUAGUUUGGAUAUUUAAAGUAACAGCAACAUACAUGUACAUGAAGUUAAUCAUUGUGGAUUUGUGGAAUGUGCUCUUCCUAUAAGGACGACAUGCCAGUUCUGAGGAGAUGGUGGUGUUCCGUUACUAUGAAAAACCUAAUCCUGGAAGGGUAUGAUUGAUUGAACCUUUGUUAGAUCAAAGAGAUCUAACAAAGGAGAUUAGAUUUCUUUGUUAGAUAAAAAUAUUGUUAUAUUGUAUCCCUAGCUGGCCCUUUAAAGCUGCAGUCCGGAGUUUGAAUCGCAGCGUCUCCCAGAACACUGUUGGUCCCACCCUCCCUCCCUCUGAUUUCGCCCCUUUAUUUGUGCACGCGCGCAGUACAUGAGAGGAGUGCCCGGAGUGCUGCAGCAUCUCGCCUGUUUUGCUGUUUUCCCCUCUUCUACAUUUAGUACAUUUAGUAAAUAAUAAAGGAAUUACGUUAGAAUGCUGUAUUGAGUUUAACUUGUCCUAAUACCAAAAUAACAUGAAUCUGCUAGGACGAACUAGUAAAGUUUCAAUAUGUGAUUACACUCGUGUAUCCCUCUCAAUGACGUUGUUUAUCAAACUUAGUGCAUUUACGCGUGUAUAUAUGUUACAUUGUUUAUUUAUUUCUAUCUAGAGUUCAGAAUUGCAUGACUCCUCUGACGAAGAGUAUGUCCCAGAUGCCCCAACAUCUUCCUCCAGAGGUCGGGCAUCUAAACGAAGCCGUCAGGCGGGCUAUGGAGGGCCGUGGUCGGGGAGCGAGGCGAGCACCCCGACCACGGCAUCUAAACGAAGCCGUCAGGCGGGCUAUGGAGGGCCGUGGUCGGGGAGCGAGGCGAGCACCCCGAGCCAAAAAACGUCCUGCAGUCUCUUGGCCUGACAAGCCGUGGGAUUGGUAACUUUUCUGGAAGUUGCUGAGCCCUGAUGCUCUCUCCUCCACAAGCAAAACAAAUGUGCGCGCGGUUGCGUAGUGCGUAGCUCGCCCACCUCUGCAUGGGCUUGCUUGCUGUGCACGUAACCGUUGAUUGACAGCAUGACAAAGCUGAAACUCGAACUUGAUUGGUUGGCAGCAACCGGCGCUUUUUGAAAUAACAUGGGGGUCUAUGAGAGGAAGGCGGAGCUCAGGAAUAAAUUUUCAUAUCGCGUUAUUCUAACUUUAUAUUAUAGUAUCGAACUAGACUAACACAUUUAAGCUUUGUUAAAAAAUGAUACAUAGAUUGAAAACAAACGGAAACUCCGGACAGCAGCUUUAAGUAUUAUGACUAUUUUUCUUAGUUUAUUUUUUGUUUCUUCAGGCAUGGGAGAAGGUUUGCCCAUUUCACUAAGGAGGGAAAGGACAUGAUUUCUGGCCGUCUUUCACCUGUUUUCCGACUGAAGCGGAAAAGAACAGAUGAUGAAGACACAGAUAUAAGAAUAUGUGACAACAACAGAAUGAGUGAUAUAAUAUGGCGACUUUACAUGUAUGUGUAAUUAAGACCUUCUUCAAAGGACAGUGUUGUUACCAAUAACAAUAACAGGCAGCCUUGGUUUAAGGCCCACUGAAUGGUCUCACUAGGAAGCACACCAUAGUAUUUGUCAUGUUUGUCCUUUGUUUCAUUUUAUUAGUAAGUUUGAACCACCGGUCAUGAGCCUGACACACAAUAAUAAACAGUUACACUAAUAUUAUAAAUCGUACAUCGGCAUUGCCGAUCAGAGACCAAGGGCUAUCUGGAAAUAAUAUCAGAACUAACUGAGAUCUAGACUAUAAUUUAAAAAAAAUCCCCACAGUUGAACAGAGACAGAGAUGCAUAUUAUAAUAGAUGAUAUUUGAAGCCAUAUUAAGUGGGUUUUUUUUUCAAAUUUCACUUAUUGUCACCAUGAACUUGUGAAACUCUUGCUGCUUGCAUCAGCAGCAUCCUUUACAAACUGACAAAAAAUGGACAUUUGGAAGACCACCAACUAGUAUAGUUUUGAUAUGUUUAUCUUGGAAUGUUCCAUCUAUUUAGAAUCAUGACUGGGAAGACAAUGAGGGGCUGAUGGUUGGUGAAAAAGUUUGCUUGUUUAUUUGUCUUUUGGUUGAUAGAUUUCAUUUUUAAAUUAGAAUGUUGACAGGAGCAUGUGCCAGUGGAUGCAAUGAGCUCUUAAUCAACUUUGUUUCUCAGCAGAGCAACACAUAUUAAAAAGGUGAUGAAUGUAAUUAACUUCAAUUGUCACAGUUUUAAAGCUCUGGCUGACUAUCAUUCUUCAUCAGUAAAUGAAUGUAGUUACCUGACUAUGAAAUUCAAAAGCAGUCUUGUGUAUGUUGUUGACUGUUCUCAUCAUCCAACCAAAUAAAGUCUGACACAAAAUGUUA